AGUUCUUGCGCGCCGGAAGCGGAAGCGCCGAGUCUCCAUGGCGGCGGCGACGGCGGCGGCGGCGGGGCCGGUGCUCUGGAGGCGGCUGCUGGGCCUGCUGCCUGGCCGCCCCGGGCUGGCCGCGCUCCUGGGGCGCCUGUCCGACCGCCUGGGCAGGAACCGGGACCGCCGGCGCAGGAGGUCGCCAUGGCUGCUCUUGGCUCCUUUGCUGUCUCCAGCUGUCCCCCAGGUCACCUCCCCACCUUGCUGCCUGUGUCCAGAGGGUGUGCACAGGUUCCAGUGGAUCCGAAACCUGGUCCCAGAGUUUGGGGUCUCCAGUUCCCACGUCAGGGUGCUUUCAUCCCCGGCCGAGUUUUUCGAGCUCAUGAAGAGUCAGAUCAACGUGGCCAAGAGACGCGUGGUGAUGGCGUCCCUCUACCUGGGGACAGGUCCUCUGGAACAGGAACUGGUAGAUUGUCUGGAACACACUCUGGAAAAGUCACUCCAAGCCAAGUUUCCUUCAGACCUCAAGGUGUCCAUCCUCUUGGACUUCACGCGGGGCUCAAGAGGUAGAAAGAACUCCCGCACCAUGCUGCUCCCGCUGCUGCAGAAGUUUCCAGAACAGGUUCGCGUCUCUCUCUUCCACACGCCUAACCUGCGCGGGCUUCUCCGGCUCCUGAUCCCUGAGCGCUUCAACGAGACGAUCGGCCUGCAGCACAUUAAAGUGUACCUCUUUGACAACAAUGUCAUCCUGAGCGGCGCAAACCUGAGCGACUCGUACUUCACCAACCGCCAGGACCGCUACGUGCUCUUGCAGGACUGCCCCGAGGUCGCGGACUUCUUCACGGAGCUGGUGGGCGCAGUGGGGGACGUGUCCCUGCAGCUGCAGGCCGACAACACGGUGCAGGUGUUGGAGGGGAUGGUGCAUCCUUACAAAGGUGACCGGGCUGCAUACUGCAGAGCGGCCAACAAGAGGGUGAUGGAUGUGAUCAACUCCGCCAGGGUCCGCCAGCAAGUGCUGCACGCCCAGACCUUCCACGGCGACUCCCUCUUGACUCAGGAGGACGCAGCCGCCGCCGGGGACCGGAGGCCAGCCCCCGACACCUGGAUUUACCCACUGAUCCAGAUGAAGCCCUUUGAGAUCCAGAUCGACGAGAUCGUCACCGAGACCUUGCUGACAGAGGCUGAGCGAGGCGCCAGGGUCUACCUCACCACCGGCUACUUCAACCUGACCCAGGCCUACAUGGACCUGGUCUUGGGCACGCGGGCUGAGUACCAGAUCCUGCUGGCCUCUCCGGAGGUGAACGGCUUCUUCGGGGCCAAGGGGGUGGCGGGGGCCAUCCCGGCCGCGUACGUGCACAUCGAGCGGCAGUUCUUCCGUGAGCUGUGCAGCCUGGGCCAGCAGGAGCGCGUCCGGCUGCAGGAGUACUGGCGGAGGGGCUGGACGUUCCACGCCAAAGGCCUCUGGCUGUACCUGGCAGGGAGCGGCCUGCCCUGUCUCACGUUGAUUGGCUCUCCUAAUUUUGGGUACAGGUCGGUUCACCGGGACCUGGAGGCCCAGAUCGCCAUAGUGACGGAGAGCCGGGCCCUGCAGCAGCAGCUUCACCAGGAGCAGGAGCAGCUCUACCUGCGCUCAGGUGUGGUGUCCUCCGCCACCUUUGAGCAGCCCAGUCGGCAGGUGAAGCUGUGGGUGAAGAUGGUGACUCCGCUGAUUAAGAACUUCUUCUGAGGACAGACAGGGAUGGAGGCUGCUGCUUGGCGCCCGGAGCCACUGACUGUGGCCCCCAAAAGGGGACGCGAGCAAGGUUCCCAUCACAUGUGCGGAUUUAGAGAGGAAUGUACUACUAGCCGUCCGACACGGUGCGGCGGUUUCCCGCCUCGUUUCCCUCCCGAGCAGCCGCUUUGACUCUCCCCUGUUUCUGCUGACGUUUACGUGCCGCUCUGUAUCUCUGGACAGUGUGCGUGUCUGGCCGCCCCCCAGAUCUGAAGUCUCACAGACGCCCCAGCCCAAACGCUGUACCAGCCUUCCGGCUGAAGUGUCAGCCAGCAGAAACCCCGACCACCUGCACGGUGUCAGUCGCCUGAUAUUUUUUUAUUACAGUUUUUCCAUGUGUUGGACUUGAGGUUCCGGGCAAGGUCCAGACCUUGUGUGGGACGGUGACGCGUCACCUAAGUCUCUUUUUGUCUGUGGGCUCCCCUCAUUUUUCUUUUUUCUUUGCAAUUUUUUUGUGGAAGAGUGAGCCUUAUUUUUACUGCAUCUGCCUAAAACACGGUGUGGGUCAUCAUCUCACAGCUCAGCAUCUUCAGAACACGUAGCGUGUAGAUUCGUCUCAGGCCUGGCUUUCUGCCUGCCCCAACUGCCCUGUGUCUCCAGGAGCAGAUUUCAAAACCUUGCUGCCUAAUCUCUGCAUCUCCAGGUGCUUGAACCUUGCACAGAGAAAGACCUUCCUGAGAGAAGGCCUUUGGGGCCCCCGGCUGUGGCAGCUCUUCCUUGGGCGGGGGCAGUAGCUUUCCACCCUGCCCGAGGGCUGGCGAGGGCUGGCGGCUGCUGGUGGUCCCCUUGGGGGGCUCUGGAAGUGGGGGUUGGCCUGUCCGCACAGCCUGGCUGUGCCUGGGGUGCUCCAGUGUUAGAAGCACCUUGUCAGUGCAUCUGCAGCCACCCCCACCCCCAGUGGGCCAGCGGAUCUGCAGGCUCUCGUGGUUGGGAACCGGGAGCAGGGGGGUGGCGGUGGCUGUGGCUCUGCUGUUCUGGGGCAGCGGUACGUCACUUAACAUGUUUGCUUUCGAACUAGUUAUUAAAUUGUCCUGUGGGACAAGUAGACUAGAGAAGCCAAAAGAAUGAGCCAGGGGCACUGGGUUUCUGUUUGGAGAGAGGCUUUCGGUAAACAGCGUUCACAUCCUGCAGAUUCUUUUGGACUGGAGUCAGCAUCGUGCCACAGCCCGGCUUGAGCAAUCGGGGCCUCUGCCCUCCAUGCUCGGCUGCUCCCUUGGUCUCUGCGGACCGUCUCCGGACCCCCCAGAGGCAGGGGCUCCAGGGCCCAUAGCACCUAGAGAGGCACAGUCCCUGGGUCCCUGUCACUGGAUUGCAACCCAAAGGAAUGGCCUUGAUGAAGAUGACGGGCAUGGCCGGCGUCAGCUCCUUCAGCCUGGCUUCGGCGAUGACUCCGGUCUGGGUGUCCCAGCGAGCUCCUGCAGGACAGCACCGUGAGCUCAGGGUGGCCCGUGAGGCCGUGCCUGGGUGCUGAGUGGCAUGCUGGCCAUGAGCUGGGGUGCUGGGGACGCUGGGGGCUGGGCCAGCGCAGGCACGGCUGGACGUGUGGCUGUGAGCACAGAACCCGGCAGAGUGUUGGGCCCUUGGGGACUGCGGGGACCCCGCCACGUGCCUCUGAGGGAUGGCACCGCCUCAAGCUCUCGGGGCCACCCGUUCACGUAUGUGGUGUUUUCGGAACCUGCCGGUCAGCCUUGUCAGCCUCAGAGGCAGGAAGUGGUGGCUCCAGCUGGAAGUCCCCGGAGGCCACAUGCACAUCGCUCUGUCUGCGUGUGCACGCGCAGGCACCGAUCUAGUGCACGCGCAACUUUGACUUGCCUUUAACCAAACUGCUAUCAUUUCUACUCAGCCUGUUAAUGGUGUUUGUGUUUCCUGUCUGUCAUUCCAAAAUAAACAUGGAGAGCGGCC
This is an RNA transcript of Mustela erminea (ermine), 3655 nucleotides long. It is a transcript of the gene named phosphatidylglycerophosphate synthase 1, with no coding region annotated. The transcript has 11 exons. The record is from RefSeq and is a predicted model, not a curated record. NCBI's taxonomy places the organism in Eukaryota, Metazoa, Chordata, Mammalia, Carnivora, Mustelidae.